UACAGAGGAUGCAAGCGUUAUCCGGAAUGAUUGGGCGUAAAGCGUCUGUAGGUGGCUUUUUAAGUCCGCCGUCAAAUCCCAGGGCUCAACUCUGGACAGGCGGUGGAAACUACCAAGCUGGAGUACGGUAGGGGCAGAGGGAAUUUCCGGUGGAGCGGUGAAAUGCGUAGAUAUCGGAAGGAACACCAGUGGCGAAAGCGACUUCCUGGUCGAAUACUGACGUUCAUGUGCGAAAGCGUGGGGAGCAAACAGG
RNAcentral lists this ribosomal RNA (253 nucleotides) under uncultured bacterium. Its description in RNAcentral is "partial 16S ribosomal RNA". It matches the Rfam family "Bacterial small subunit ribosomal RNA", at positions 524 to 776 of the family's 1533-position model. The record is from RNAcentral.